This is a long non-coding RNA of Bufo bufo (common toad), 101 nucleotides long. RefSeq lists it as uncharacterized. The record is from RefSeq and is a predicted model, not a curated record. NCBI's taxonomy places the organism in Eukaryota, Metazoa, Chordata, Amphibia, Anura, Bufonidae. The transcript has 4 exons.
GUGUCCUUGCAGCUCACUGCCAAGGUUUAAAGUCAAGGUUUGGUGGCUCUCUCACUGAUAAUACUGUGGAAUAGGUGCACUGCCACACAGCACUCCCUGUU